This 447-nucleotide ribosomal RNA is filed under the name Ralstonia sp. RNAcentral's name for it is "bacterial SSU rRNA". The record is from RNAcentral. Lineage: Bacteria; Pseudomonadati; Pseudomonadota; Betaproteobacteria; Burkholderiales; Burkholderiaceae.
GAAAUCYUACUACCCUGACAUGCCAUAAGAAGCAGAGAGCUUAGUGCUGAAGAGAAAGUGGACACAGUGUGCAUGGCGUCGUCAGYUGUGUCGUGAGAUGUGGUUAAUCCCGCAACGAGCGCAACCGUUGUYUUAGUUGUACGAAAGGGCACUCUAGAGAGACUGCCGGGACAAACCGGAGGAAGGUGGGGAGACGUCAAGUCCUCAUGGCCCUUAUGGGUAGGGCUMCACACGUCAUACAAUGGUGCAAACAGAGGGUUGCCAAGCCGCGAGGUGGAGCUAUCCCAGAUAAUGCAUCGUAGUCCGGAUCGUAGUCUGCAACUCGACUACGUGAAGCUGGAAUCGCUAGUAAUCGCGGAUCAGCAUGCCGCGGUGAAUACGUUCCCGGGUCUUGUACACACCGCCCGUCACACCAUGGGAGUGGGCUUCACCAGAAGUAGUUAGCCU